RNAcentral lists this non-coding RNA (32 nucleotides) under Homo sapiens (human). The record is from RNAcentral. Lineage: Eukaryota; Metazoa; Chordata; Mammalia; Primates; Hominidae.
CCUCACUGGAGAUGAGCCUAUGGUUUAAGGCC